Molecule: long non-coding RNA, 224 nt
Filed under: Elaeis guineensis (African oil palm)
Lineage: Eukaryota; Viridiplantae; Streptophyta; Magnoliopsida; Arecales; Arecaceae
Description: long non-coding RNA (EGUI_LNC040601)
Source: RNAcentral
GGCCUUCCCUCGUGUACCGGUUUGGUACGAAAAAUCUUUAUUUACUAUUAUAAUUUAAAAUAAAGUAACGGUUAUCAACACAAUUUAGCCCUACAUGAGCCCACAAUAUGCCUGCUCCCUCACAGCUACCACAACCUACUAUAAUAGGAGAUAAUAGAUAAUAACAAGAAAUUAGUAUCAUUGUUUGCUUAAUUCAUUGUUCAUUUAGGGAUGGCAACCCAAUC